UUUUAUUAUGGGAGAUGAGAGGAGUAAUCAUGCACAUAAUUCAAAACAUUUUCUUUGUUUUGAAUUUUCAUGCUUUUAUUUCGUCCACUUUUUUUUUGAUAAUUUCGUCCCACUUUUUGUUUUUACCCUUUUUGGUGGGUUGAUUUUUUUUGUUUGUAUUCGUUGCGCUGUUUAUUUGGACGGAAAAGAGGCCAGAUUCUAAUCAAGACAUA
This 212-nucleotide long non-coding RNA is filed under the name Salvia miltiorrhiza (redroot sage). Its description in RNAcentral is "long non-coding RNA (SMIL_LNC001305)". Lineage: Eukaryota; Viridiplantae; Streptophyta; Magnoliopsida; Lamiales; Lamiaceae. The record is from RNAcentral.